Non-coding RNA from Physcomitrium patens, 1351 nucleotides. NCBI's taxonomy places the organism in Eukaryota, Viridiplantae, Streptophyta, Bryopsida, Funariales, Funariaceae. The record is from RefSeq and is a predicted model, not a curated record.
ACACUUCAACUCUCAGUGGCUUUGUUUUUAUCACCAAAACUUCAAAACUCACAGCACCAUUUCAAAGGUUUUUGGAUUCCAGUCCUACAAUGCACCUCGUUUGCAUAACUAAUGAUCUUUGUUUAUUACAGAGAGCGAAACUGCACACUCCGCACCAGGUUUUUGGUGGAGUUGUAUUGGGUCGGAUCGGAUCGGAUUGGAUGCGAAGAGUGUUUCCAUGAGAGAUAGGAAAUUUCAAACCUCCGUUUGGUUGGUGUCGAUAUUGUGUAUUGUGAUUGGAUGUGGUUCUGAGCUCUAUCAACUGAGUUUUGUGUAGAAAUCGAAGCUGAACUGUGGGAUUUUUCUCGUCUGUGAAGCUCCUGUCUCGCGAUUCAGCAGAAAUGACGCCUCUCACAAUGGUGAGUCUUUUUUGUGGUAAUGGAAGUGGCAUGGUUUCUUAGCGCUGACUCAAUGAAGCUCUUAAUGGGGCGAGGCAUCUCUCAUUUUGUAUUGCAGUACGUCGGACCGACUCCUGCCCAUGUGUUCAAAGACUUCCCACGCGAUAAUCAAAACAAGUUGCAGAAUGGAGGAAUCGUGGGACAAGGUCAGUUUCUAGGGCCAGAGAGCUUGACGUUCGACGCACAAGGCCGGGGACCUUACACAGGUGUCAGCAACAAUCGCAUUCUGCGAUAUGACGGUCCGGAGCGAGCGUGGACCACCUCCGCAUACACGUCAAAAAACAAGUUUGCGCUUGUUCACCUCAAAAUUCUUCACUAGGAUCUCGCAUUCUAAACUUUAGGAUGAUGCCAUAGAAAAGCUUCAGUUGGCACUGGACAAGAAUUGUGAAGUCGGGAAUGUUUUUACGAGUUCAGAGGUGUGCAGGUCGAAAGUGUGCACGCCCAAGACCCCAAUAGCCCCGAACUUUGCCUUUGAGCAUGUUAUUAUUUGAACUUUUGAAAGCCAUUAUCGCAUCUGCAAAUAGCCCAAGAAAACGAGAGCCAUGGCGUGUGGCAAGCAGGGGUCGAGACUCACACACUCAGUGUAUCGAAUUGUGUUCGGCCAGUGGCGACUAAUUUUGAUUGCUGCUAGAGUGAAUUCAUCUUUUUGCCAAAAAUUGCGGUAGGAGCCAAUUACUCCGUUGCAAGUUGGUCAGAUUCUGGUUUUACUUAUAAAGAAUUUUUAUGAUAGUUAAUCAAGUUGAAGGGUAGAGAUGUUAGUUCUUAAGUGAGGGGUAAAUUUGCAAUUAUCAAGAAUACAGGGGUACGUAUGAUAUGUAUGAGCUUUCCCCUAAAUAGUAGUACUUUGUGUGCUAUUUACAAUGUUAUAGAUGUGAAGCAAGCUGAGGACUUAUAAUGAGUCAUAAAUUUAUAUA